Molecule: long non-coding RNA, 3126 nt
Organism: Nerophis lumbriciformis (worm pipefish)
Lineage: Eukaryota; Metazoa; Chordata; Actinopteri; Syngnathiformes; Syngnathidae
Source: RefSeq, a predicted model, not a curated record
CAGCCGGAGACUGGCAAACUUUGACUCCACGCCGCGAGAAGAAUCGGCCAGCCUGAGAAAGCGAAAAAAGGCAUUCUUCACCAUGGAAGUUCAAACCAACAACUGUGUGCACCAGGAUCCCCACGAUACCCAAGUGCAACAGAACCAGCCCCAGAGGGAUGCAGUCAAAACGAAGCCAUCACGCAAGGAAUGCUGCCAGAAUUGCUGCGACACGACCGUCAAUGCCGGCUCUAUGAUGGCCGAAUGCGGCUCCUGCUUCAAUGACUGUUUUGAGAAUAUCAAGUCGGUCACAUAGGAGCAUCGACAGAUGCGUGGUUGGGAGCACCCUCAGCGCCAGGCAAAUGGUGUGGCACAGCAACGGAACGACUGAAGAGAGGAAGGCACUGCAGAGGGUGGGGAAAGCUGCUCAGAAAAUCGUAGGGCGCUUUCUUCCCACCACCACCACAGACAUCUUCAUCAGCCGAUGCAAUUGGAGGACUCCGUGGCAAAAGAGACCGAUCCCACUCUCCCCCUGCACGAGUAAAACCUAAAGAAGCCAUAUGUAAUAAUCUGUCCAGAAAUGAUACUGCAAUCACGGUUAAAAUUCCCUCUCCCUGACUGAGGUUGCCAGAUACGCAGCCGAAUCCAGCUCGAUGGACUGGGCUACUCCAAGGAACUUCAAACUUCCACUGCCUCUUACUAGGGGUUGAGGUGCUGGGACCAUAAUAGCUGCAUAGACAAGCACUUUGUCAAUAACAAAUCUCUAACCAACACAUUUUACACAGAAUUUAGGCUAUUUUCAGGAAGAAGUACAUCAUACUUGCGUAUAAUAUCACAACAAACGACAAUCAUGUGGUUACUGUCAGUACUAUCAGAAAACAAAGACUACAACCAACGCUAGCAAUGGUUGUACUGGUGGAAAUAAGUAGAGCAUGCUUCGCAGCCUAAUGUACGGCCAAAACUAAAGAGGAGACAUUUUACCAAGGAAUGCCUAUAUAGGCUACUGUUUCAAACGUUGCAGAUUGCCAUAUAACUUGGUAGAUGUAGUCCACAAUAUGCAAUCAUCAAUGAGGAAUGCUUGUAUCAUGUGAUUUGGCUGAUCCAUACGUUUCAUAUUGCCAUGAUGACAGCCGUGCUAAUGUUGGAGCCCAUUUCCUCAGCGUAUGAGCAUAUUGAGAACGAACUUGCAUAUAAUAUUUCCCCCGUUAGCCCAAAUGUCGAUGUGUCAUUGGUGAGCAUUACACUAGGAGCGAAGCAUCAUCACACUAAGCAUUUGUUGCGCGAACAUAUUAGCUUUGUGAGACAAGAUCAUAGACUGUAUUCGACAAUAUAGUUUACAUACCAAAUGUCCGUUUCCAUUUAGAUUAGAUUAGAUUAGAUUAGAUUAGAUUUAUUGGUCCCCUUGGGGAAAUUCAUUGUCACUGCCGUACAUUUAAACACUAGACAUUACACAUCACACAAAAAAAAUAAAAUAAAAAAAAAUAACAAAAAGACAUCAUACAUGACUAACACACAUUUACAGGCUUGUCAGACAGGUCGGCCGGGCCUGCGGUUAAGGGCGGCUAUAGCUGCAGGGAUCAGGCUUUUCCUGAGGCGGGCCCUCCGGAAUUUGAUUGUUCUGUACCUGCGCCCUGAUGGUAGUGGGAUGAUGUAUUACAAUUAAUAAGAAAUAAUAAUAAUAAUAAUAAAUUGGAUUUGUAAAAAACGCUUUACAUUGAGUAAACAACCUCAAAGUGCUACAGUGUAUUAAAAAAAAUAAAUAAUAAACAUAAAAACUAGAACAGCCAAAUAGCUAGAACUAGUAUGCAUAUAUCUAAAAAAAAAAAAAAUAAUUAAGAAAGAAGGGUUUUUAAGCCUUUUUUAAAAGCAUCCACGGUCUGUGCCGCCCUCAGGUGGUCAGGGAAAGCGUUCCACAGACUGUUAGCGGCGGAGCAGAAAGCCCGGUCUCCCAUUGUUCGUAGCUUUUAAGAAAACGUAAAUGCCUGACUUACCUAUCAAGGAGGAAAUGAGCAAGUUCUUCAUCUUCGUCAGUGUGCAAUUUCCAACAAGAAGUGAUGCACUUAAAUAGUCGCAGCUGUGGUCAAUCAACUGAUACAACACAUCGAGAACAACUUCAAAAAUGAAAGUGUAAAAAUAAUAAACUAAAAGGAAAAUUGUACGAAACACAUCAAAGCACAGUAUCAUAGGAAAAUAAAUGAAGCAAUAAAACAAAACAAAAAUAAAGCAAUAAAAAAAUAAUAAAGCAAUACAAAAAAUAUAUAUAAAAAAAAAUAUAUAUAUAUAUAAAACGUCAUAAAAAAUAAAUCAAUAAAAAGCAUAGUAAUUAAAAAAAACAAAAAAACAGUGCCUUUUAGAUGUACUAAGGUCUGACAUGUUUAGUAACUUUACCAGUGGCAGUAGCCAGACGAAGAUGGCGGUGCGUAACUGGCAACCUGGAUGUGACACACUCACAGACUUUUCUAAUUGCUCAAACGGUAAAGGGCGGCACAUCAAAAUGAAAACAAUAACAAGAUUUCGGGGUUGUAAAUCUAAUUUUGAAAUGAGCAAAUCACGGCUGAAUUACUGUUAUCAGUUAUAGAGGUAGUGGAAAAGAACAUGAUUUAUUAUGCCUUUUGACAUAUCAGGGCCAUUUACUGAUGACCAGACAUGAAAUUAUUACAUAUGGCUCCUUUAACUUGCACACAUGUUCCAGCUGUGCUGUACCAGGCUUUCAUGUGGUUUGGUUUGCUGUCCAUUGUUUUUACAUUCUAUAUGCACGACAUGAUCACAAUGUAUUCUAUUUUUAUAUAUAUUCGGUAUAUAAUUGAUCCAUAUUAUUUGAAACCUACUAUGCAUCCUGUUCUAUUUGAAUUAUUACGUACCUACUAUUGUUUUUGUGGUGCUCAUUGGGCUACAUAUGGGAUCCCGGUUACUAAAUGUUACCUAAUGCCAUCCAAUUCGUCUCAUGUGUGCUGCUAUUACAGAUGGAAAAUGAAGACACAAAUAAUGAUCAAAAUUAUUUUUGAAUAAUAAUUAAAGAUUCAAGAUUCAAGAUGCUUUAAUAUUGUUCAUUCUUUAACAUGUACAAGACACAUAAGAACUGAAAUUUCAUUUUCGGCACAAUCCCACUAAGAGCAGACAUACGUUACAGGGAGACAAGACGGGACC